AGUGAACGCUGGCGGUAGGCCUAACACAUGCAAGUCGAACGGCAGCACAGUAAGAGCUUGCUCUUACGGGUGGCGAGUGGCGGACGGGUGAGGAAUACAUCGGAAUCUACUUUUUCGUGGGGGAUAACGUAGGGAAACUUACGCUAAUACCGCAUACGACCUACGGGUGAAAGCAGGGGAUCCUCGGACCUUGCGCGAUUGAAUGAGCCGAUGUCGGAUUAGCUAGUUGGCGGGGUAAAGGCCCACCAAGGCGACGAUCCGUAGCUGGUCUGAGAGGAUGAUCAGCCACACUGGAACUGAGACACGGUCCAGACUCCUACGGGAGGCAGCAGUGGGGAAUAUUGGACAAUGGGCGCAAGCCUGAUCCAGCCAUACCGCGUGGGUGAAGAAGGCCUUCGGGUUGUAAAGCCCUUUUGUUGGGAAAGAAAAGCAGCAGGUUAAUACCCCGCUGUUCUGACGGUACCCAAAGAAUAAGCACCGGCUAACCUCGUG
Molecule: ribosomal RNA, 492 nt
Filed under: uncultured bacterium
Lineage: Bacteria
Description: partial 16S ribosomal RNA
Rfam family: Bacterial small subunit ribosomal RNA
Source: RNAcentral